Molecule: ribosomal RNA, 468 nt
Filed under: uncultured bacterium
Lineage: Bacteria
Description: partial 16S ribosomal RNA
Rfam family: Bacterial small subunit ribosomal RNA
Source: RNAcentral
GACGAACGCUGGCGGCGUGCUUAACACAUGCAAGUCGAACGGAAAGGCCCUGCUUUUGUGGGGUGCUCGAGUGGCGAACGGGUGAGUAACACGUGAGUAACCUGCCCUUGACUUUGGGAUAACUUCAGGAAACUGGGGCUAAUACCGGAUAGGAGCUCCUGCUGCAUGGUGGGGGUUGGAAAGUUUCGGCGGUUGGGGAUGGACUCGCGGCUUAUCAGCUUGUUGGUGGGGUAGUGGCUUACCAAGGCUUUGACGGGUAGCUGGCCUGAGAGGGUGACCGGCCACAUUGGGACUGAGUUACGGCCCAGACUCCUUCGUGAGGCAGCAGUGGGGAAUAUUGCACAAUGGGCGGAAGCCUGAUGCAGCAACGCCGCGUGCGGGAUGACGGCCUUCGGGUUGUAAACCGCUUUCGCCUGUGACGAAGCGUGAGUGACGGUAAUGGGUAAAGAAGCACCGGCUAACUACGUG